Mauremys mutica (yellowpond turtle) is the source of this 490-nucleotide long non-coding RNA. RefSeq lists it as uncharacterized. The transcript is spliced from 3 exons. NCBI's taxonomy places the organism in Eukaryota, Metazoa, Chordata, Testudines, Geoemydidae. The record is from RefSeq and is a predicted model, not a curated record.
ACCCGCAGAGGGGAACGAAAAGGGCAGGAAAUGGGGGCACACGCGCGAGGCGUUAGGGGUUCUGCGCCACAGCAGAUUCUGAGGGAAAAAUAAGGAAAAAUGCCUCCAGGAGCUGGGGCUGCAUGAAGAAAAGCCACACCCCCUCUAUCUCACCUCUCCUGCUAAAACAAACCGCAAGACCUGGAAACAGCGAAAACGGCAGGUUUGGGAGUGCCAACAUGUUACCCCCACCAGCAGCCGCCUUUGUGAACAGCCACCUGCAGAAAUCACUGGGCCAUUUCAAAACAACUAGAGCUAAGCAACAAUGGACCAUGGGAGACGCCCAUCUACCCUGAGUGGACUGUCAUGUAAACGUGCUGUCUGGAAUGUAAGAGCUGGCAGCACUGGAUCUGACCUGGUAGAAUGGUGGCAGUGAACUGGAUGGGAGCUGCCACCUGAGGAUAGAGAAGAACUGGUCAGGCAGUGGCAGACUGGAUGGAGGCAAUUUCAG